CAGUAGCCACGGUAAAACGAAGGGGGCUAGCGUUGUUCGGAAUUACUGGGCGUAAAGCGCACGUAGGCGGAUAUUUAAGUCAGGGGUGAAAUCCCGCAGCUCAACUGCGGAACUGCCUUUGAUACUGGGUAUCUUGAGUAUGGAAGAGGUUAGUGGAAUUGCGAGUGUAGAGGUGAAAUUCGUAGAUAUUCGCAGGAACACCAGUGGCGAAGGCGGCUAACUGGUCCAUAACUGACGCUGAGGUGCGAAAGCGUGGGGAGCAAACAGGAUUAGAUACCCGAGUAGUCCCUGUCUCUUAUAC
Molecule: ribosomal RNA, 301 nt
Filed under: uncultured bacterium
Lineage: Bacteria
Description: partial 16S ribosomal RNA
Rfam family: Bacterial small subunit ribosomal RNA
Source: RNAcentral